RNAcentral lists this ribosomal RNA (2395 nucleotides) under Escherichia coli. RNAcentral's name for it is "partial 23S ribosomal RNA". It matches the Rfam family "Bacterial large subunit ribosomal RNA", at positions 417 to 2797 of the family's 2925-position model. The record is from RNAcentral. Lineage: Bacteria; Pseudomonadati; Pseudomonadota; Gammaproteobacteria; Enterobacterales; Enterobacteriaceae.
GCGGGACACGUGGUAUCCUGUCUGAAUAUGGGGGGACCAUCCUCCAAGGCUAAAUACUCCUGACUGACCGAUAGUGAACCAGUACCGUGAGGGAAAGGCGAAAAGAACCCCGGCGAGGGGAGUGAAAAAGAACCUGAAACCGUGUACGUACAAGCAGUGGGAGCCUCUUAAUGGGGUGACUGCGUACCUUUUGUAUAAUGGGUCAGCGACUUAUAUUCUGUAGCAAGGUUAACCGAAUAGGGGAGCCGAAGGGAAACCGAGUCUUAACUGGGCGUUAAGUUGCAGGGUAUAGACCCGAAACCCGGUGAUCUAGCCAUGGGCAGGUUGAAGGUUGGGUAACACUAACUGGAGGACCGAACCGACUAAUGUUGAAAAAUUAGCGGAUGACUUGUGGCUGGGGGUGAAAGGCCAAUCAAACCGGGAGAUAGCUGGUUCUCCCCGAAAGCUAUUUAGGUAGCGCCUCGUGAAUUCAUCUCCGGGGGUAGAGCACUGUUUCGGCAAGGGGGUCAUCCCGACUUACCAACCCGAUGCAAACUGCGAAUACCGGAGAAUGUUAUCACGGGAGACACACGGCGGGUGCUAACGUCCGUCGUGAAGAGGGAAACAACCCAGACCGCCAGCUAAGGUCCCAAAGUCAUGGUUAAGUGGGAAACGAUGUGGGAAGGCCCAGACAGCCAGGAUGUUGGCUUAGAAGCAGCCAUCAUUUAAAGAAAGCGUAAUAGCUCACUGGUCGAGUCGGCCUGCGCGGAAGAUGUAACGGGGCUAAACCAUGCACCGAAGCUGCGGCAGCGACACUAUGUGUUGUUGGGUAGGGGAGCGUUCUGUAAGCCUGUGAAGGUGUGCUGUGAGGCAUGCUGGAGGUAUCAGAAGUGCGAAUGCUGACAUAAGUAACGAUAAAGCGGGUGAAAAGCCCGCUCGCCGGAAGACCAAGGGUUCCUGUCCAACGUUAAUCGGGGCAGGGUGAGUCGACCCCUAAGGCGAGGCCGAAAGGCGUAGUCGAUGGGAAACAGGUUAAUAUUCCUGUACUUGGUGUUACUGCGAAGGGGGGACGGAGAAGGCUAUGUUGGCCGGGCGACGGUUGUCCCGGUUUAAGCGUGUAGGCUGGUUUUCCAGGCAAAUCCGGAAAACCAAGGCUGAGGCGUGAUGACGAGGCACUACGGUGCUGAAGUGACAAAUGCCCUGCUUCCAGGAAAAGCCUCUAAGCAUCAGGUAACAUCAAAUCGUACCCCAAACCGACACAGGUGGUCAGGUAGAGAAUACCAAGGCGCUUGAGAGAACUCGGGUGAAGGAACUAGGCAAAAUGGUGCCGUAACUUCGGGAGAAGGCACGCUGAUAUGUAGGUGAAGCGACUUGCUCGUGGAGCUGAAAUCAGUCGAAGAUACCAGCUGGCUGCAACUGUUUAUUAAAAACACAGCACUGUGCAAACACGAAAGUGGACGUAUACGGUGUGACGCCUGCCCGGUGCCGGAAGGUUAAUUGAUGGGGUUAGCGGUAACGCGAAGCUCUUGAUCGAAGCCCCGGUAAACGGCGGCCGUAACUAUAACGGUCCUAAGGUAGCGAAAUUCCUUGUCGGGUAAGUUCCGACCUGCACGAAUGGCGUAAUGAUGGCCAGGCUGUCUCCACCCGAGACUCAGUGAAAUUGAACUCGCUGUGAAGAUGCAGUGUACCCGCGGCAAGACGGAAAGACCCCGUGAACCUUUACUAUAGCUUGACACUGAACAUUGAGCCUUGAUGUGUAGGAUAGGUGGGAGGCUUUGAAGUGUGGACGCCAGUCUGCAUGGAGCCGACCUUGAAAUACCACCCUUUAAUGUUUGAUGUUCUAACGUUGGCCCGUAAUCCGGGUUGCGGACAGUGUCUGGUGGGUAGUUUGACUGGGGCGGUCUCCUCCUAAAGAGUAACGGAGGAGCACGAAGGUUGGCUAAUCCUGGUCGGACAUCAGGAGGUUAGUGCAAUGGCAUAAGCCAGCUUGACUGCGAGCGUGACGGCGCGAGCAGGUGCGAAAGCAGGUCAUAGUGAUCCGGUGGUUCUGAAUGGAAGGGCCAUCGCUCAACGGAUAAAAGGUACUCCGGGGAUAACAGGCUGAUACCGCCCAAGAGUUCAUAUCGACGGCGGUGUUUGGCACCUCGAUGUCGGCUCAUCACAUCCUGGGGCUGAAGUAGGUCCCAAGGGUAUGGCUGUUCGCCAUUUAAAGUGGUACGCGAGCUGGGUUUAGAACGUCGUGAGACAGUUCGGUCCCUAUCUGCCGUGGGCGCUGGAGAACUGAGGGGGGCUGCUCCUAGUACGAGAGGACCGGAGUGGACGCAUCACUGGUGUUCGGGUUGUCAUGCCAAUGGCACUGCCCGGUAGCUAAAUGCGGAAGAGAUAAGUGCUGAAAGCAUCUAAGCACGAAACUUGC